This 443-nucleotide ribosomal RNA is filed under the name uncultured bacterium. Its description in RNAcentral is "partial 16S ribosomal RNA". It matches the Rfam family "Bacterial small subunit ribosomal RNA", at positions 338 to 795 of the family's 1533-position model. The record is from RNAcentral.
CCUACGGGAGGCAGCAGUGGGGAAUAUUGGGCAAUGGGCGCAAGCCUGACCCAGCAACGCCGCGUGAAGAAAGAAGGCUUUCGGGUUGUAAACUUCUUUUCUCAGGGACGAAGCAAGUGACGGUACCUGAGGAAUAAGCCACGGCUAACUACGUGCCAGCAGCCGCGGUAAUACGUAGGUGGCAAGCGUUAUCCGGAUUUACUGGGUGUAAAGGGCGGGUAGGCGGGGACGCAAGUCAGAUGUGAAAACCACGGGCUCAACCGGUGACCUGCAUUUGAAACUGUGUUUCUUGAGUACUGGAGAGGCAGACGGAAUUCCUAGUGUAGCGGUGAAAUGCGUAGAGAUAAGGAGGAACACCAGUGGCGAAGGCGGUCUGCUGGACAGCAACUGACGCUGAGGUGCGAAAGCGUGGGGAGCAAACAGGAUUAGAUACCCGGGUAGUC